RNAcentral lists this ribosomal RNA (252 nucleotides) under uncultured bacterium. RNAcentral describes it as "partial 16S ribosomal RNA". It matches the Rfam family "Bacterial small subunit ribosomal RNA", at positions 524 to 776 of the family's 1533-position model. The record is from RNAcentral.
UACGGAGGAUGCGAGCGUUAUCCGGAUUUAUUGGGUUUAAAGGGUGCGUAGGCGGACUGUCAAGUCAGCGGUAAAAUUGAGAGGCUCAACCUCUUCCCGCCGUUGAAACUGGUGGUCUUGAGCGGAUGAGAAGUACGCGGAAUGCGUGGUGUAGCGGUGAAAUGCAUAGAUAUCACGCAGAACUCCGAUUGCGAAGGCAGCGUACCGGCAUCCAACUGACGCUGAGGCACGAAAGCGUGGGGAUCAAACAGG